RNAcentral lists this ribosomal RNA (233 nucleotides) under uncultured bacterium. RNAcentral describes it as "partial 16S ribosomal RNA". It matches the Rfam family "Bacterial small subunit ribosomal RNA", at positions 15 to 229 of the family's 1533-position model. The record is from RNAcentral.
GAUCAUGGCUCAGGACGAACGCUGGCGGCGCGCCUAACACAUGCAAGUCGAACGGAGUUUACAGACGGAAGUUUUCGGAUGGAAGCUUGUAAACUUAGUGGCGGACGGGUGAGUAACACGUGAGCAACCUGCCUAUCAGAGGGGGGAUAACGAUUGGAAACGAUCGCUAAUACCGCAUGACAUAGCGGAAUCGCAUGGUUCUGUUAUCAAAGAUUUUAUCGCUGAUAGAUGGG